UGGGUGGUGACUGGAUGGAAAUCCCUGUCGACUAGGAGCAUGUAGGGGAGUCAAGGUACUUCUCUACAUCAUAAGCCGGUGAAGUGAAACAUCUCAGUAACCGGUGACGUGAAUCAACGGAGAAUCUCAGAGUAGUGGCGAACGAAAUGAGGGGGGCCUUGAUCUCAUCAUCUUACGCAUCUCUUCGGGGUGGAGACAUCUCGGGGAGUAGGCAACAGACUCUUCAGACCGGCAGGAAAACGUAAAGCCUGCGGGGAAUGAGGGGCAUAAGUAGACCAGAGAGGGUAAAGUACCGUUUCCUGGAUGAUGAGGUCAUGUGGAGAGUAGAGUGGGCCAUGUGCCAGGCUGCUUGAAGAUCGGGGGACCGUCCUCGAAGGCCAUAUCCAUUCCAUGACCGAUAGUGAACGAGUACCGUGAGGGAAAGACGGAUAAGUUCUUCGAAGGAACUGACAGAAAAGGCAUCGACUAGCUUGGAGGGUUCCUCUAGGUGGGGUAGAUGAGUCGGACAUACAGGAGGAGUGAAUACGUGGAUAACACCUUUUCGUGAGUUCGGUAGGUUGGCAACGAUCUACACUUUGAAGAGUUGACUGAAACCGGGCAGUCAGCAAACGGUCAAGGCGAAAGAAGAUACUCGCCAUGGCGUACUUUUGGUAUAAUGGGUCAACGACUUAGGGCAUGUGGGCUAGCUUAUUGGGAGAGGUAGGCACAGUGAAGGCGAUGGGGCUAACGUCCGUUGUUGGAAAUGGGUCCGCAUGCUUAGACGCGAAACCAGUCGAUCUCCCCAUGACCAGGUUGAAGAGUUCGUAAUGGGAUUUGGAGGACCGAACCAGUAGUCGUUGUAAUGACUUUGGAUGAGUUGUGGGUAGGGGUGAAAGGCUAAUCAAGGCUGGUGAUAGCUCGUUCUCUGCGAAACAUGUUUAAGCAUGGCGCUGCGUGGAGUGUGUGAGAGCACAGGAAGGAACAAAGGGGUAGAGCACGACGUUGAGGAGGGGGUGUCAAAGCCUACCAACUCUUGGUUAACUCUGAAGGACUUUGGGAGACGCAGUAGUUCGACGGUGGCAGACAAGUGCCAUCAGUCGAGAGGGAAACAGCCCAGAUACGUGUGUAACGUCUUAAAGUAUUGGCUUAGUGGUCGAAGGAGGUGAACACUCGAUGACAGCAGGUUCGUAGGCUUGGAAGCAGCCAUCGAAGAAUGACCUCGUAAUAGAGCGCCUGAAGAGGGUGUUUGCGCCGAAGAUACACGGGACUGAAGCCAAUCACGGAACACAAUACACCAAGGACUUCGUGAGAAGUAUGCUUGGAUGGGUAGCAGAGCGUCCUGUAGAUCAAUGAACGGGGAUUGUUAAGUUCUCGGGAGGUAUCAGGAUUGAGCAUGUUGACAUGAGGUAGUGUAAAUCAAUGGAUCUGGUUGUGGGAUGGGAGGUAACUUCUGUGUCACAGCCCAGAUAUGUAAAUCAGAUCAUAGAGACCGAAAGCUCAAGGUUUCUGUAACAAGUGAUGGUGAAGCGGUUCCUAAGGAAUAGCCGAAAGGUGAAUUCGAUGGGGUGAAGGAGAGUGACAGGGGGAUGACGGGUGGGAUCGCCGGUGAGUGGGCUCGCGUAUCAGACGGAGGUAGCAACAGCGGGUCGAACCAUUGGGUAGAAUAAGAGAUGGACCCCACCGAAGUAGACGGAUUGGCCCGUGAUUCCCUUCUUGAAAGAGCCACUUCAAUAAACCGUACCGAGACCAACGCUGGUGAGCUGGUGUAGUACACCAAGGUUUCAAACGAAGGUAAUCUAAGGAACUCUGCAAAAUCACUCCGUAAGUUCGCGAGAAGGAGGCCUGAGAGUCGACAGUGGGAUGAAAGACGCUCACUUCGACUUUGAGGCGCAGGGAAUAGGGGGGUGCGACUGUUUACCAAAAACACAAGUUUACGCGAAGCUGUAAGGCAUCGUAUGUGAGCUGACGCCUGCCACGUACUCGUCACUGGACGGCGGAUGUGAAAGCAUCUAAAGGAAGGUCGAGCUAACGGCUGCGGUAACCUUGACCGUACUAAGGUAGCGUAGUUCCUUGUCCACUAAUUAUGGUCGUGCAUGAGAGGCGUAACGACACCCCCGCUGUCUUGGGUUACUAGUUGUCGAAAUUGGCGAGGCCGUGAGGAUACGGUCAUGUCACUGUGGGACGAAAAGACCCUAUGCACCUUGACUGGAGGUUCGCUUUCUGUACUUCGAAGGAGUUGUGUAGCGUAGAUGGGAGAACAUUCGAGCAAUGUUCGACGAUGAAACACCAUCCUUCUCUUCGUUGGCAGUUACCUUCAAACUCGAGAAAAGAGGUUAUACUCGUGAGAGUAUAGAUUGAUUGACUCGGAUGGGGGACAGAGCGUGCGUGCUAGUUUCGCUGGGGCGGCGGCCUUCUAAAGAGUAACGAGGGUAUACGAAGGCCAUCUCACCGGAGCCUAACACUCCGGGGUGAGCGUAUGGGCAGAUGAUGGCUUAACGGAGAGAGAGGGAUCUCCAUCCGAGAUGACGUGUGGGGAUGAAAGUUCUCACAGGUUGUCGGUCCAAGUGAACCGGUAUUAACCUACGGAGGUGAUAUCGAUUGAUCGACAAAAGGUACGCUAGGGAUAACAGGCUGAUGCCCGUUUAGAGUUCCUAUCGAUGCGGGCGUUUGGCACCUCGAUGUCGACUCAGGUCAUCCUGGGGCUGAAGUAGGUCCCAAGGGUUCGGCUGUUCGCCGAUGAAAGACCUACGUGAGUUGGGUUCAAAACGUCGUGAGACAGUUUGGUCUCUAUCUGCAGUGACGGCUAGACGGAACGAAGAGGAUUGUUCUUUAGUACGCAAGGACCGAGAACAGAGAGCCUAUGAUCGAGUGGCUGUGGAGAAUGGUGGGUUCGUUCUUCGCAAGCCAUGUCGUUACGCUCUUAGGGGAUAACCGCUGAAAGCAUCAAUGUGGGAAGCCUUCCUUAGCAUAAGUUCCGCGAUAAACCGAUCGUAGAUUCCGAUUUCAAUAGGCGGAACAUGGACACAGGGUAACCUGAGCAGUGGAUCCGUACUAAGUUUU
Molecule: ribosomal RNA, 3039 nt
Filed under: Hypsibius dujardini
Lineage: Eukaryota; Metazoa; Tardigrada; Eutardigrada; Parachela; Hypsibiidae
Description: bacterial LSU rRNA
Rfam family: Bacterial large subunit ribosomal RNA
Source: RNAcentral